ACUUUUAAAGGAUAGAAGCUAUCCAUUGGUCUUAGGAACCAAAGAAU
Molecule: transfer RNA, 47 nt
Filed under: Allocebus trichotus (hairy-eared dwarf lemur)
Lineage: Eukaryota; Metazoa; Chordata; Mammalia; Primates; Cheirogaleidae
Description: partial tRNA-Leu
Source: RNAcentral